AUUCAGCAUUAAAUUCUUACAGUUUGACUAUUUUGACUUACUGGUUGAAUUUCAAAUUUAAGGCCAAAGUAACCGCAUUAGAAGCAUUGCUUUUUUAAAGAAUGUUUCCAGUUCGGCUAUUUUUACCUCAAAUUUUGAAUUUACUUUCUUUCAGUGAUGGCUGUAGGGAAUUCGCUUUGUCUAUGGAUCCCCCAAAAACCUCAAUGCUGUACUUUUGUGCAUGCACUAGAGAACAGCGGUGACGUCGGCUCCUGGUGCUGAAGGGAAGCAGACUGAGAAAGAUG
Non-coding RNA from Pelobates cultripes (western spadefoot toad), 284 nucleotides. The record is from the annotation of a GenBank genome assembly. Lineage: Eukaryota; Metazoa; Chordata; Amphibia; Anura; Pelobatidae.